AACGCGAAGAACCUUACCUGGGCUCGAAAUGCUAUGGACCAGCUUAUGAAAGUAGGCCUUCCCGCAAGGGACCGUAGUAUAGGUGCUGCAUGGCUGUCGUCAGCUCGUGUCGUGAGAUGUUGGGUUAAGUCCCGCAACGAGCGCAACCCUUGUCCUGUGUUGCCAUACCGAAAGGUGGAACUCGCAGGAGACCGCCAGGGAUAACCUGGAGGAAGGUGGGGAUGACGUCAAGUCCUCAUGGCCUUUAUGUCCAGGGCUACACACGUGCUACAAUGGACGGUACAAAGGGCUGCCAACCCGCGAGGGGGAGCCAAUCCCAAAAAACCGUUCUCAGUUCGGAUUGCAGGCUGCAACUCGCCUGCAUGAAGCUGGAAUCGCUAGUAAUGGCGGAUCAGAACGCCGCCGUGAAUACGUUCCCGGGCCUUGUA
This 428-nucleotide ribosomal RNA is filed under the name uncultured Acidobacterium sp. RNAcentral's name for it is "bacterial SSU rRNA". It matches the Rfam family "Bacterial small subunit ribosomal RNA", at positions 958 to 1385 of the family's 1533-position model. Lineage: Bacteria; Pseudomonadati; Acidobacteriota; Terriglobia; Terriglobales; Acidobacteriaceae. The record is from RNAcentral.